UGGGGAAUAUUGGACAAUGGGGGGAACCCUGAUCCAGCAAUGCCGCGUGUGUGAAGAAGGCCUUCGGGUCGUAAACCCCUGUCGAAUGGGACGAAUAAUCCGCGGGUUAAUACCGCGCGGAAAUGACGGUACCGUUAAAGGAAGCCACGGCUAACUCUGUGCCAGCAGCCGCGGUAAUACAGAGGUGGCAAGCGUUGUUCGGAAUUACUGGGCGUAAAGGGCGCGUAGGCGGCCUUCUAAGUCAGACGUGAAAUCCCCCGGCUUAACCUGGGAACUGCGUCUGAUACUGGGAAGCUUGAGUAUGGGAGAGGGAUGUAGAAUUCCAGGUGUAGCGGUGAAAUGCGUAGAUAUCUGGAGGAAUACCGGUGGCGAAGGCGGCAUCCUGGACCCAUAACUGACGCUGAGGCGCGAAAGCUAGGGGAGCAAACGGGAUUAGAUACCCACGUAGUCCCUGAGCGGGCUGGCAAGGCGCAU
RNAcentral lists this ribosomal RNA (474 nucleotides) under uncultured bacterium. Its description in RNAcentral is "bacterial SSU rRNA". It matches the Rfam family "Bacterial small subunit ribosomal RNA", at positions 355 to 825 of the family's 1533-position model. The record is from RNAcentral.